UUGGUAUGUAUCGGGUGGUUGGAUCCCUGCCUCGGCAGCGACACCAUUGGUGCAUACGUGUUCAAUUCUGUCCGAGAGCUAAAUAGUUUGCCUUUGGUUGGCAAUGUCCCCCUGUGUAUCAUACCUACAUAGUCGGAAUUUCAUAGUCCCACAGUCCCCUAUUUGUCUCGUGCUACAAAAAAUGUGCGAGACAAACAACGAAACUAACCUGGACGUCCGCCCUUGCGUUUCCAUUCGGUCUUGUAAGCGUCGGACGCCCAAGUGUCGCCGGAAAUCUCGUAUGCGGAAACAUGAUCGGUUGGGGUCUUGGUCCCUACUUGUCCGAAUUAAAUGUCCCUUAUGGAAGCGUGUUGUGCCCUAUUUCGACUUUAGGAUGAUAUUCAUCUCGAUGCUCGCUCGGUGCCUUCGGCAAAAAGGAAUGCUACCUGGUUGAUCCUGCCGUAGUCAUAUGCUUGUCUCAAAGACAAGCCAUGCAGGUGUAAGUAUGAACUAAUUCAGA
This 499-nucleotide unclassified non-coding RNA is filed under the name Ostericum grosseserratum. RNAcentral's name for it is "partial external transcribed spacer 1". The stretch from base 423 to 499 matches the Rfam family "Eukaryotic small subunit ribosomal RNA", at positions 1 to 79 of the family's 1831-position model. The record is from RNAcentral. Lineage: Eukaryota; Viridiplantae; Streptophyta; Magnoliopsida; Apiales; Apiaceae.